GCAAGACUUCACAUGUAUGGUGAGGAAAAUGAUUUUUUUUUCUAAAAACAAAAACAAACAAACCCUUUUUUGUGAAAUUCAUUUUUUCCCAAACUUCAGCCUUUCUAUUGUAUCAGGCCAAAUGUCUGUGUUUUGUGGUGCUAGGAAGUUUCUUUGAAAUCCACAGUACUCUGUGUAAUGAUUAGACCUCAGAAGACUUAGCAUAAAUGACCAUAAAACUACAUUUGAAAACUUGACCUUAAACAACUUCAAACUUGUAUAAUGACUCAGUGACAUCUCUUAUUUUUCUGUGAAAAAUAAAAAAAGUAUUGAUCUGAGAACUCCAGAGGAGCUCCUAAAAGAAUAGAGGAGCUCCUAAGAGGAUAGAGGAGGGAGAGGAAGUUAAUUUGAAAAUGUUUCCAACAAGUUUAAAUUAACAACAAACUACAGUUCCACUGGAAGAUAUUUGAGGAAAUAUUUAGAAAAUGUUUUUAGGCAGGUACUUAUACUUGGUAUAUUUAAAGAUAUAUUAAUAUAUUUAAAAAUAUAUGUGCAUAAUAUAUUCUGUGUGCAUUGUAUAUUAAGAUGUGCAUGUCCCCAUGGCAAGACAAAAGAAACACCUGUAAAAGUAGAGAUCCUCAGAAACUGUUCAAUCACAACACAAAUUAUAUAAAAGGUAUUUUAACAAGACAAAGAAAAUUGGCAGAACUGAACUCAAAAUCUGAAGGUUAACCACAAUAAAACACAAACACAAAUCUUAAUAUGUGGUUUUCUGGCUCCAUCUGGUGUUUAUUUAACAGAAUUUAUAGUUCAAGGAAAUCUGAUUUCUACUCCCCUUUCCAGCCCUAUGUUGGAAACAAAGAGAGGUCAUUAACAAGACACUUAAAAUUAGGUAGUCCGAGGGCUUAUAGUCAAAGUUUUGUAUUUGCUCCUGUGAAGGUACAGGAAUAUUGUUUUUUUAUCAGUAUUUAUCUCCUGUGACUUAAAUCAUAUUCAGAUCUAAGAAAGGGCUUUUCUUACCAUUUCCCUCAGGAUGCCAAUCAGGCUGCUAAUAUACUAUUCCUCUCUACCAACCUUGCCCCACAAUAUAUCCUCAUUUUGGCUAAAUCCUCAGUACUACCUCUUUAUUCAAGUUAAAAGUUAACCCCCAGACACUUGUAACACAAUCAUAAGUCUUCACAUCUUUUUUUUUUUUAAUUAUUCCUGCUUUCAAGUCUGAUAAUAUCAUAUUUAUUUACUAUAAAGGUAGUUGGAAGAAUGAGAAGGCUACCAGUUGACCACUCACUGGACCAAAUGUUUGUGGAGAAAGUAUGUGUAAAGUCCAGGACAACUUUCCCCUUCCUUGUUAGUAUUUUUCAUGAUUAAAUGGCAUAACACCCUUCUUUUUCUAUUGGGCCUGACAUACAAAACUGUCUUGUCCUGGUAUGCUCUUACACCAGCAAGCUUCUUUAAAAAAAAAGAGGUAAAUUAUUUACUAUCAUUUAGGAAAGAGAUUCUUGAAUUUGUUCCAUAGAGAGGACUCUAAAAAGAUCUGCCCAUACAUUAGACAAUGAUGAAUACAUUUUCAAAUAUGAUUUGGUAAUUGAGAAUAUUGUAGAAUAGACAGUACUUCCUGACAAACAAGUUUUCUGCACACGUCAUCUGCUUAACUAUACUUGUAGAGCACCUGAGUAAAGUAGAUAGCACUGGGAAAGUCUUCUGCAGCAGCAAAUGUAUGAGAAAUUAUUAUUAUUAUUAUUAUUAUUAUUAUUUUUUUCAGUUAGGAAGAUGUUUUCCUAUCUUACUAUUUCUAAGUACCUCACUUUUCAUUAUUUUCAGUUGUAAGUAACUAUCUGUAUCAAUGUCACUGCUGUUCCUUGACUCAUACACUCAUCUUUACAUUAUAGAUGUUCACACUCAUGGCUUUCGACCUGUUGUUUUCCCACAUAAAGAACUCUAUUUCCUAAAAUAUGUGUGUGUGAUGGUGGAAGUACCUAAAGCA
RNAcentral lists this long non-coding RNA (1960 nucleotides) under Anas platyrhynchos platyrhynchos (common mallard). Its description in RNAcentral is "lncRNA (ENSAPLG00000028219.1)". The record is from RNAcentral. Lineage: Eukaryota; Metazoa; Chordata; Aves; Anseriformes; Anatidae.